RNAcentral lists this ribosomal RNA (965 nucleotides) under uncultured bacterium. RNAcentral describes it as "bacterial SSU rRNA". It matches the Rfam family "Bacterial small subunit ribosomal RNA", at positions 524 to 1482 of the family's 1533-position model. The record is from RNAcentral.
UACGUAGGGGGCGAGCGUUGCUCGGAUUUACUGGGCGUAAAGAGCGCGUAGGCGGCCAGGGAAGUCUGGUGUGAAAUCCCUCGGCUCAACCGAGGACCCGCAUUGGAGACUCCCUGGCUUGAGUCCAGGAGGGGAGGGUGGAAUUCCCGGUGUAGCGGUGAAAUGCGUAGAGAUCGGGAGGAACACCGGUGGCGAAGGCGGCCCUCUGGAAUGGUACUGACGCUGAGGCGCGAAAGCUGGGGGAGCAAACGGGAUUAGAUACCCCGGUAGUCCCAGCCGUAAACGAUGGGCGCUAGGUGUGGGAGGUAUUGAUCCCUUCCGUGCCGCAGCUAACGCAUUAAGCGCCCCGCCUGGGGAGUACGACCGCAAGGUUGAAACUCAAAGGAAUUGACGGGGGCCCGCACAAGCGGUGGAGCAUGUGGUUUAAUUCGACGCAACGCGAAGAACCUUACCAGGGUUUGACAUGCCGGUAGUACCGACCUGAAAGGGAAGGGAUCCCGCAAGGGAAGCCGGCACAGGUGGUGCAUGGCUGUCGUCAGCUCGUGUCGUGAGAUGUUGGGUUAAGUCCCGCAACGAGCGCAACCCUCACCCUCUGUUGCCAGCGGGUUAUGCCGGGCACUCUGAGGGAACUGCCCCGGUCAACGGGGAGGAAGGCGGGGACGACGUCAAGUCAUCAUGCCCCUUACGCCCUGGGCUACACACGUGCUACAAUGGCCGGUACAGAGGGCUGCAAACCCGCGAGGGGGAGCUAAUCCCACAAAGCCGGUCUAAGUUCGGAUUGCAGGCUGCAACUCGCCUGCAUGAAGGAGGAAUCGCUAGUAAUCGCGCAUCAGCACGGCGCGGUGAAUACGUUCCCGGGCCUUGUACACACCGCCCGUCACACCACGAAAGCCGGCUGUACUCAAAGUCGCUGGGCUAACCCGCAAGGGAGGCAAGCGCCAAAGGUAUGGUCGGUGAUUGGGGUG